RNAcentral lists this long non-coding RNA (1058 nucleotides) under Heterocephalus glaber (naked mole-rat). RNAcentral describes it as "lncRNA (ENSHGLG00100039369.1)". The record is from RNAcentral. Lineage: Eukaryota; Metazoa; Chordata; Mammalia; Rodentia; Bathyergidae.
UUUUUUUUUUUUUGGUUCUGGGGAUCAAACUCGGGACCUUGUGCUUGCAAGGCAGGCAGCAGAAACACUGAGCUAAAUCCCCAGCCCUACACUUAACUUUUUAGAUGGUUCCAAGCCAUGACAAGAUAAUGUGGCUUGCUUUAAAAAAUAUCAGUGGUUUAUAUAUGGUGCGUGUCUGUGUGCAUGCAUAUGUGUGUGUGUGUGUGUGUGUGUGUGUGUACAAGAAGUCACCAAGGAGCUUGUUGUACAUGUAGGUCUCAGAAUCACAAAUGAUCUCAAGGAACCUGGGAAUCUGCAUUUUUAGUAAGUAGCCAGGUGGGUAGUAUGUAAAUUUUCCACAGGCUUCAUUUUAAGAAGCCUUGGGUUAGGGAAUGAGUAGGGAUCAAGGAUGCCCAGGUGAGAUGGGGCCCUGAGGCGGCAGGGAAGGGUGGAUUUGUGUGUGUGUGUGUGUGUGUGUGUGUGUGUGUGUGUGCGUAUGUGGUACCAGGGAUUGAACUCCGGACCUUGUGCUUUUGAGGCAGGCGCCAGAACCACAGAGCUAAAUCCCCAGCUCAGGGAAAGGUAGAUUUUAUGGGAGUGUGGGCCCAAGUGUGAUGUGGACACACAGUAAGUGGGCAGUGUGGUGAUAGGUAGAUGAACUGAAAGAGAUCAGAACUCAUAACUCAAGAAAGGAGGAGCUGGCACAAACAACGAGGAUGCAGCAAGAUCCGAAGGAUUCAGUCAAGGCUCGAAGCCCUGGAGCUCACUGUAGAGUCCCUCUCGAGUCUGCGUAAGGAGGCUGAAGGUUCUGCAAUGGAAGCUGAAGAAUCCUCACUGGAAGCCAGGAGAUGAUGUCCACAGCGAAGGUGAAGACUGGAGCUCCUCCAAAAAAAACAGAGCUCAUCCUACUGACUUCUGCACUUGAUUGUAGCCAAGAGGCUGAGAAGCGGUCCUGCUGACUUCCAAAUGGGAAUAUUUGUGGUACAUUUCAGUUCCUUCCUCUCUCAUCUACCUCUUCCAGCUUCAGCAAAUGGUCAAUUAUGCUUCUAAAAUGUUCCUUUUGGAGCUUAUACUCCCAG